RNAcentral lists this ribosomal RNA (253 nucleotides) under uncultured bacterium. Its description in RNAcentral is "partial 16S ribosomal RNA". It matches the Rfam family "Bacterial small subunit ribosomal RNA", at positions 524 to 776 of the family's 1533-position model. The record is from RNAcentral.
UACGUAGGGCGCAAGCGUUAUCCGGAUUUAUUGGGCGUAAAGAGCUCGUAGGCGGCUUGUCGCGUCGACUGUGAAAACCCGCGGCUCAACCCCGAGCCUGCAGUCGAUACGGGCAGACUAGAGUGCUGUAGGGGAGACUGGAAUUCCUGGUGUAGCGGUGAAAUGCGCAGAUAUCAGGAGGAACACCGGUGGCGAAGGCGGGUCUCUGGGCAGUAACUGACGCUGAGGAGCGAAAGCGUGGGGAGCAAACAGG